AUGAAGUCAAGGAGGGACUGGGAGGUGUGACAACUGAUGGGGAUCAACAGCAACGAGGAGUGGAGAACGUGAAGGAUGAGAAGUCGGCUGUUGUGGAGGACAAAGCAGCAGCAUUGGGGUUGAGGCGAUCAAAUGGCUACGAAAGGAGAUGAUUGUUAUUUCUAUUAUAAUACUGCAUGUCUGAAGUCAAGCUGCACUCGGUAACAACACUGUCUGUACGUUGUGGCUACAAGGAUCGUGCUUUCGAUCAGCAUGUCCGUUCAGACAUAUGCAUAUCACUGUGAAUGGUGACACUUUCGUCUAUUUCUCACAUUCUUGUGAGAAUGUCGAAUGUUUAGCCGUUGAAGAGUGAGUUGUCGUGUUGCUUUGAGAUUCAACCGAGUGGCUGCCUCGAGCCCAACUGUCCUUUCAAGCAUUUCAAGCCGAGAAAUGUGAGCACACUGGGAACAAGCUCGAUGCCGGUGAUGUCAACGACAUAGCCAGUUGGUAUGACGUG
Long non-coding RNA from Corticium candelabrum, 496 nucleotides. RefSeq lists it as uncharacterized. The record is from RefSeq and is a predicted model, not a curated record. NCBI's taxonomy places the organism in Eukaryota, Metazoa, Porifera, Homoscleromorpha, Homosclerophorida, Plakinidae. The transcript is spliced from 3 exons.